AUGAAAUCUUGAAGGUUGUGCAUGGCAGUAGGAUUGUUAUGAAGGAGAAGAAGUGUAGAGGACACUACCUCUUGGUAGGGAGCUCAGUGCGAGGUGGAGCUUUCGAUGUCAGUGGGAGCUCUACGUGAGGUGGAGCUUCAGGUAUAGGUGGAUUAGGCACGAGACAGGAGACUUGAGAAGAUGAUAGACGACAUCACAAAGUGAAGUUCAUUGCUGCAGAAGAUUAUCCUGAGC
RNAcentral lists this long non-coding RNA (234 nucleotides) under Elaeis guineensis (African oil palm). RNAcentral's name for it is "long non-coding RNA (EGUI_LNC077641)". The record is from RNAcentral. Lineage: Eukaryota; Viridiplantae; Streptophyta; Magnoliopsida; Arecales; Arecaceae.